AGGGGUAAAACCCCUCGCCUACGUAAGCGUUAUUACGCCC
This is a regulatory RNA element of 40 nucleotides. It matches the Rfam family "Pseudoknot of tRNA-like structure". The record is from Rfam.